CUGGGCCGACUGUCCCCCCUCUCCAUUUGCACCCCCCUGCCCUUGUCCUCCACCGCCGCUGCUCGCGGUGUCUGUCACCACAAAGUCUAUCAUGCUCUCUGUGGAACGGCCGAUCUAAAGACACAUCAACAACCAGACUCAAGGGUUAAACCCUCCUCCCCUCCUGGCACUGGAAACACUCAUCGCUUUGCUCUGCUCCAUGACUGUGUGAUUUGAAUGACACCUUUGUUGGCAGUCAAAUGAAGUGUUUUGCAUCCGCAGCUAAAAUCUAAAGAUAACUCAGGAAAACCAUGCACAGGGUUGGCCGUAUUCUUACCCAAGUACAAUCAGCUCCCCGUACUUGAUGGGCGCCUUGUCCUCAGGGCAGAGAGCAUCAUGGGACUGAGAUCCUGAGCCCAGAGGAGGAGAUGGCUGAUUCUUGUUGC
Cyprinus carpio (common carp) is the source of this 425-nucleotide long non-coding RNA. RefSeq lists it as uncharacterized. Lineage: Eukaryota; Metazoa; Chordata; Actinopteri; Cypriniformes; Cyprinidae. The record is from RefSeq and is a predicted model, not a curated record. The transcript has 3 exons.